UUGUGCCUGCCCUUGAGGUAUUGGCAUGUGUGUGUCCUGGGGGGCAACACUCCCUCCUGUGCCCCGGGCCCCUCUCUAGCUGGCCCUCGGCUUUUCCCAAGGCCGUGGGUGAAGCCCCAGGCCGGGCCCCAGUCCCUGUUCUGCGGUCCGAGGCUGGGAGGGACGGGGACACCCAGGGAUGUGGUGGAGCUUGACAGCGCGUCACGUCUGUGUCCCUUCCAUGCGCCGUGAUGCACAAGCCCGAGGAACACUUCUCGUGUCUGAAAAGUGUCGUCCAGCGCCUCAGAGAAGUAGCUCCUGUCACUGAAAAGUUUGGCUUCAUCUUCUUCUGGCCUCAGAUCGGGAUCAGAAUGCUGAGAGAAACUGUGGAUCAGAGAAGAUUCUACCAUUGCUGACGUGAGAUGGAGCGAGAGCCAAGAUGAACAUGGGAAAGAAAACGUCCCAUGGAUGAGAUAAUGACAACUUUUGACCUAGAGAGCCUAGACUUUUUUAUGUUGCUUCUCCCAACUUUAUUCUCAAUGAUGAAAGAUUCCAAGUUUAACCACAAGUGACUUUAACCACAAGUGUCUCUGUGUUUCUAACUUUGGUUAUGUUCAAGAUUAUGUUUAAUAAUCAUGACCAUUUUAAAAGCUGAAACUGUCAAA
Molecule: non-coding RNA, 644 nt
Organism: Heterocephalus glaber (naked mole-rat)
Lineage: Eukaryota; Metazoa; Chordata; Mammalia; Rodentia; Bathyergidae
Source: RefSeq, a predicted model, not a curated record